Molecule: ribosomal RNA, 254 nt
Filed under: uncultured bacterium
Lineage: Bacteria
Description: partial 16S ribosomal RNA
Rfam family: Bacterial small subunit ribosomal RNA
Source: RNAcentral
UACGGAGGGUGCGAGCGUUGUCCGGAAUCAUUGGGCGUAAAGGGCGCGUAGGUGGCCCGGUCAGUUCGUGGUGAAAGCGCGGGGCUCAACCCUGCGUCGGCCAUGAAUACUGCCGCGGCUGGAGCACUGUAGAGGCAGGCGGAAUUCCAGGUGUAGCGGUGAAAUGCGUAGAUAUCUGGAGGAACACCGGUGGCGAAGGCGGCAUCCUGGACCGGCAUUGACGCUGAGGCGCGAAAGCCAGGGGAGCAAACGGG